Molecule: long non-coding RNA, 251 nt
Filed under: Octopus vulgaris (common octopus)
Lineage: Eukaryota; Metazoa; Mollusca; Cephalopoda; Octopoda; Octopodidae
Source: RNAcentral
ACUGGUGUAUAAGAUGGCUGGGCAUAUAUCUAGUUUUUAAGACAAGUGUUAGUCAUGUCAGCCAAUAGCCAAGCUAACAAUUUCAUGUAGUACAUUACAGGUCAUAAAAGUCCACCUUUUAUACCUGGUGUAUUAGACAGCACCAUAAUUUAAGGAGAUUUUUUAAGACUAAAAGAAUGUAUUAUACACUGAUGUAUAUGUGUAUGUGUGUAUGUAUUAUUCAUCCUUUGUAUUUGCUUCUGAUAAUAAAU